RNAcentral lists this long non-coding RNA (259 nucleotides) under Panax ginseng (ginseng). RNAcentral describes it as "long non-coding RNA (PGIN_LNC012205)". The record is from RNAcentral. Lineage: Eukaryota; Viridiplantae; Streptophyta; Magnoliopsida; Apiales; Araliaceae.
GACGAUGGACUUGAUCAAGGCUGACGACGCAUUAGAGAAAGAAUAUGCCGAAUUAAAAGCCCAAGGCCCUCCAAUAACCGAAACCGCCAAGAGACAAUUCAUCGAAGAAUACCGAACAUCCCUAUAAUUGACCGAAGAAUUAUUAAUGAAACAAUUCGACGGCGACCACUGGAGCGCAAGAUGAAGGAUAAAGAUAAUAUGCAAGCAGCUUGGCCUCGACCCCAACAUCUUUGACUCCUCAGGUGAUGAAGAAGACGCC